GUGGCUCGAUGGAAAAAGUCUAUUUGGAGAUACCUAGGCAAGCUGUCGCUUGUUACUUGUCAAAGGAUCCGCUGCGUGCGGGGGAGGAUGGAGCUGCGCCUUUGUUCCCCCGGUGUGUGAUACCGGCGGCUCCCGCGUGUGUUGUCCGUGUUGUCUCUCGCUGCGUGUUGCUGCGGGUGUUGGUGUUGGUGUUGUUUCUUCGCUCUUUGCUGUGAGGGCUUUUGUGCAGGAACAAUGUUUCUCUAGUUCACUUCUUCUCUUUCCCACAAUCUAUAAUCUCCCGUCUUCAGCGCAGCUCUAGAGGCUAGAGAGAAACACUACGUUGCUACCUCUGUUUCACACUCCAUGCUGCGUUCUGGUCUCAUCCCCCGUUUCCCCUGCUCCGUACGCCCUCUGUUGGAUAUCUACGAUUUGAUCCGCUAGAGGUUAAGCAUAAUGUCUUCCAUUAGACAGCGAGCUGCCCAGUUUGCUGGAAUGUUCAGCAGUCCAAAGUCUCCCGAUGAGCUUCCCUGGGACGCUGAGAAUACAAAACUUCCUCUCCGCAAGGACCUGCCAAAAAUUCCAGAUGCUCCUGAGGGUGCAGCUUGGGUUUGGGGCAAAAAUGACAACAUUGGUAGAUUGAAUCUGCUUACUCCAUCCCGAGUCAAGGCUGCAGCCGACGAGAUCAAGACAGGGGAGAUUGUUCCUCUCAACCUUCCGUUGAACGUUCCAGAACAGCCAGGAUUUGGUCGCGAGAAAUUCGUUCACUCGAUAAAGACCCUGAUUCCAGGAAUUGCUUAUGACGACAAUUAUCAACUCAACACGCAGAGUGGAACCCAGUGGGACGGCUUCAGACACUUUGCUCACAUCUCAUCCCAAACAUUCUACAACGGGACCAAACCAGAUGACAUUUCGGGCCCUAGCGCCAACCACAACUGCAGUAUUCACCACUGGGCCGAACGUGGCAUCGCUGGCCGCGGUGUCCUCCUCGACUACCGCUCGUAUGCCACGGCCAACGGCAUCGAUUACGACCCUUACUCUCCGCACGCCAUCAGCUUCGAAGAGCUCCAGAAAUGCGGCAAAGCCCAGGGCAUUGAUAUUCGCCCCGAAUCACAAGGCGGGGACAUCAAAGUCGGCGAUCUCCUCUUGAUCCGUUCAGGGUUUGUGGAAGCUUACUACAAACGCAGCCCCGAGGAGCGCACAAGGCUCGCCCUGCGCGGACAUGGUUCGGGCGAUGACAAUACUGAGUCAGGUGAGGAGGAGGAGGAGUAUGCGGGAGUGGCGCAAGAGGAGGCCGUGCUUGACUGGUUGCAUGACUGUUAUUUUGCGGCCGUGGCUGGAGAUGCGCCUGCGUUCGAGCGCUGGCCCACAACUGCCGAGUACUACCUACACGAACACAUUCUAGCGCUGUGGGGAAUGCCGCUGGGUGAGAUGUGGAAUUUGGAGGCGCUGGCAAAGGUGUGUCGUGAGAAGGGAAGGUAUUUUUUCUUCGUGACUAGUGCCCCUGCAAAUGUGAAAGGUGGCGUGGGUUCCCACGCAAACGCAACCGCGAUCUUCUAACUUGAUAUAGGAGAGUGUAAUAAUGGAAAGAGGAACAAUGAAGGUCAAGUGAUGUAAGCAUGGCGAUGCGGAGUUGAAUUCAUGUUUCCCCAAUAAGGGUGGUGGUCGUUCUUAUUUUCCCAUACGAAAUACGUUAGUUGUGACAUGCAUAUCGGUUAAUUUUAUGCAAGGGGCGUAUUUUCCAGUCUUUAUUUGCAUUUGCAUCUGGCCCGGUGGUUGAGAUUUGCAGUCUGCGUCCAUACAUGUUGUGAAUAUUGAUUGAUUGUGGCCUCCUCUCGUUCUUUUUGUUUCUAUUAACGCAAAUUGAAAAUAGCAACGUCGCAAUUGAUUCUGAUCAAUCCGGGCUUUUCAAAGUGGGUGUUGGUGGUUCUUAUUAUUCUUAUAACUACGUGAAAGAUUCCCAAAAUCAAACACCCAUAUUCCAUGAUAAUAACAACAGUUGUUGCAAG
Molecule: small RNA, 1988 nt
Filed under: Histoplasma capsulatum
Lineage: Eukaryota; Fungi; Ascomycota; Eurotiomycetes; Onygenales; Ajellomycetaceae
Also listed under: 1 other name
Description: hypothetical RNA
Source: RNAcentral